This 1480-nucleotide ribosomal RNA is filed under the name metagenome. Its description in RNAcentral is "bacterial SSU rRNA". It matches the Rfam family "Bacterial small subunit ribosomal RNA". The record is from RNAcentral.
AGAGUUCGAUCCUGGCUCAGGACGAACGCUGGCGGCGUGCCUAACACAUGCAAGUCGAGCGGAGACAGUGAGUAGCUUGCUACGAACUGUUCUAGCGGCGGACGGGUGAGUAACGCGUGAGCAACCUUUCCCAGACAGGGGAAUAACACUCCGAAAGGUGUACUAAUACCGCAUAAGACCACGGGAUCACAUGGUUCUGAGGUAGAAGAAUUAUCGGUUUGGGGUGGGCUCGCGUCCGAUUAGGUAGUUGGUGAGGUAACGGCCCACCAAGCCGACGAUCGGUAGCCGACCUGAGAGGGUGAUCGGCCACAUUGGGACUGAGACACGGCCCAAACUCCUACGGGAGGCAGCAGUGGGAAUAUUGGGCAAUGGAGGAAACUCUGACCCAGCAACGCCGCGUGGAGGAAGAAGGUUUUCGGAUCGUAAACUCCUGUCCUUGGAGACGAGUAGAAGACGGUAUCCAAGGAGGAAGCCCCGGCUAACUACGUGCCAGCAGCCGCCGUAAUACGUAGGGGGCAAGCGUUGUCCGGAAUAAUUGGGCGUAAAGGGCGCGUAGGCGGCUCGGUAAGUCUGGAGUGAAAGUCCUGCUUUUAAGGUGGGAAUUGCUUUGGAUACUGUCGGGCUUGAGUGCAGGAGAGGUUAGUGGAAUUCCCAGUGUAGCGGUGAAAUGCGUAGAGAUUGGGAGGAACACCAGUGGCGAAGGCGACUAACUGGACUGUAACUGACGCUGAGGCGCGAAAGUGUGGGGAGCAAACAGGAUUAGAUACCCUGGUAGUCCACACUGUAAACGAUGAAUGCUAGGUGUAGGGGGUAUCGACCCCUUCUGUGCCGCAGUCAACACAAUAAGCAUUCCGCCUGGGGAGUACGGCCGCAAGGUUGAAACUCAAAGGAAUUGACGGGGGCCCGCACAAGCAGCGGAGCAUGAGGUUUAAUUCGACGCAACGCGAAGAACCUUACCAGGUCUUGACAUCCACUUAAACUUACAGAGAUGUAAGGUGUGCUUGCACAAAGUGAGACUGGUGGUGCAUGGUUGUCGUCAGCUCGUGUCGUGAGAUGUUGGGUUAAGUCCCGCAACGAGCGCAACCCUUAUCUUCAGUUACUAACGCGUAAAGGUGAGGACUCUGAAGAGACUGCCGGGGACAACUCGGAGGAAGGUGGGGACGACGUCAAAUCAUCAUGCCCCUUAUGACCUGGGCUACACACGUGCUACAAUGGCCACGACAGAGAGAAGCGAAAUCGCAAGGUAGAGCGGAACUCAAAAAAGUGGUCCCAGUUCGGAUUGUGGGCUGCAACCCGCCCACAUGAAGUCGGAGUUGCUAGUAAUCGCGAAUCAGCAUGCCGCGGUGAAUACGUUCCCGGGCCUUGUACACACCGCCCGUCACACCAUGGGAGUUGGGAGUGCCCAAAGCCGGUGAGGCAACCGCAAGGAGCCAGCCGUCUAAGGCAAGACCAAUGACUGGGGUGAAGUCGUAACAAGGUA